This is a long non-coding RNA of Homo sapiens (human), 588 nucleotides long. Ensembl annotates it as ZNF295 antisense RNA 1. Its record names the gene ZNF295-AS1. NCBI's taxonomy places the organism in Eukaryota, Metazoa, Chordata, Mammalia, Primates, Hominidae. The record is from Ensembl.
ACGGGGCGUGUUCCCGAAAAGCCGGGAAGAGAUGUGGCGGGGCUGCCGCGGGCGUCUCUAAGGCCGGCACGGGUGGCGUCUUGACUCCCUGCCCCUCCAGCCGCGGACCUCGGACGGGGGGAAGGGGGCUCCUCCAAGCGGGGAGACGGUCGCCGGCCGAGCAGCAGGGCUCCUGGCCGGCGGAGGGUGCUAUGCUCUGCGGGACCGCCGGGAAGUCCCAGACAAGAAAUAUUACAACUCCACUGAUGAGAAAACUCACUUCGCUUUCAGUCAAAACCAGAAAUUAGAUAACAGAAAUGCCACACUGUCAACACCGACCGGGAGGAAAGCCUCGCUGGCGGAGACCGCUCAAGGGAGCCCUCCGCGCGUUCUCCCAGCCCGGGUCGCAGGUGGAGGGGGAGUGCCUCCUGCAGGGACGGUUCUCCCGCAGACACUCAAACUCCGGGAUGUAAAACCCCUGUUAAUAAUUGUCAGGGGUCUGUUAAUUGCCAAAUACAGUUUUUGAAAGUUGUAUGCACUAGGUAAAAUAAUUUAUGUAAUGUUUGGAAGUAUGUGAAAGACAGACAUUAGAUUGAUACAAAUUAAAAA